AGGACGAACGCUGGCGGCGUGCUUAACACAUGCAAGUCGAGCGGAAAGGCCCUUCGGGGUACUCGAGCGGCGAACGGGUGAGUAACACGUGAGUAAUCUGCCCCUAGCUCUGGGAUAGCUCCGGGAAACCGGGAUUAAUACCGGAUACGACCACUUUAGACAUCUGUUGUGGUGGAAAGAAUUUUGGCUAGGGAUGAGCUCGCGGCCUAUCAGCUUGUUGGUGGGGUAAUGGCCUACCAAGGCGACGACGGGUAGCCGGCCUGAGAGGGCGGCCGGCCACACUGGGACUGAGACACGGCCCAGACUCCUACGGGAGGCAGCAGUGGGGAAUAUUGCGCAAUGGGCGAAAGCCUGACGCAGCGACGCCGCGUGGGGGAUGAAGGCCUUCGGGUUGUAAAACUCUUUCGACGGGGACGAUAAUGACGGUACCCGUAGAAGAAGCUCCGGCUAACUUCGCGCCAGCAGCCGC
Molecule: ribosomal RNA, 469 nt
Filed under: uncultured bacterium
Lineage: Bacteria
Description: SSU rRNA
Rfam family: Bacterial small subunit ribosomal RNA
Source: RNAcentral